AGAGUUGAUCCUGCUCAGGAGAAAGCUGGCGGCGUGCCUAACACAUGCCAGUCCAACGGAAGAAUCCAGAAGUUUACCUCCCGGAUCCUUAACGGCGGACGGGUGAAUUACACGUGGGUAACCUGCCUCAAAGUGGGGGAUAACCUUUCGAAAGGAAAAUAUAAAUCCGCCUUAACCCUCCGUGUCCCGCUGGGGCUGAAAAGAGAAAGAGCCCUUCCCUUUGAGAUAGAACCCCGGGGCACUUACCUAUUUGGUGAAGGUAACGGCUCCCCAAGGCCACAAUGCGUUACCGACCUGAAAAGGUGAUCGGCCACAUUGGAACUGAAACACCGUCCAACUCCUACGGGAAGCGGCAGUGGGGAAUAUUGCACAAUGGGCGAAACCUCAU
RNAcentral lists this ribosomal RNA (388 nucleotides) under uncultured Clostridium sp. RNAcentral describes it as "bacterial SSU rRNA". It matches the Rfam family "Bacterial small subunit ribosomal RNA", at positions 8 to 387 of the family's 1533-position model. The record is from RNAcentral. Lineage: Bacteria; Bacillati; Bacillota; Clostridia; Eubacteriales; Clostridiaceae.